UACGUAGGGUGCGAGCGUUGUCCGGAAUUACUGGGCGUAAAGAGCUCGUAGGUGGUUUGUCGCGUUGUUCGUGAAAUCUCACGGCUUAACUGUGAGCGUGCGGGCGAUACGGGCAGACUAGAGUACUGCAGGGGAGACUGGAAUUCCUGGUGUAGCGGUGGAAUGCGCAGAUAUCAGGAGGAACACCGGUGGCGAAGGCGGGUCUCUGGGCCGAUAUCGACGCUGAGGAGCGAAAGCGUGGGGAGCGAACAGG
Molecule: ribosomal RNA, 253 nt
Filed under: uncultured bacterium
Lineage: Bacteria
Description: partial 16S ribosomal RNA
Rfam family: Bacterial small subunit ribosomal RNA
Source: RNAcentral